UACGUAGGUGGCAAGCGUUGUCCGGAUUUACUGGGUGUAAAGGGAGCGCAGGCGGGGAAGCAAGUCAGUUGUGAAAACUAUGGGCUUAACUCAUAGAUUGCAGUUGAAACUGUUUCUCUUGAGUGGAGUAGAGGUAAGCGGAAUUCCGAGUGUAACGGUGAAAUGUGUAGAGAUUCGGAGGAACACCAGUGGCGAAGGCGGCUUACUGGGCUCUAACUGACGCUGAGGCUCGAAAGUGUGGGGAG
This 245-nucleotide ribosomal RNA is filed under the name uncultured Oscillospiraceae bacterium. RNAcentral's name for it is "partial 16S ribosomal RNA". It matches the Rfam family "Bacterial small subunit ribosomal RNA", at positions 524 to 768 of the family's 1533-position model. The record is from RNAcentral. Lineage: Bacteria; Bacillati; Bacillota; Clostridia; Eubacteriales; Oscillospiraceae.